AGGGUUCGAGUUCUGGCUCAGGAUGAACGCUAGCUACAGGCUUAACACAUGCAAGUCGAGGGCAGCAUAAGUUAGCUUGCUAACUUAGAUGGCGACCGGCGCACGGGUGAGUAACGCGUAUCCAACCUUCCCCCUGCUCAGGGAUAGCCCGCUGAAAGGCGGAUUAACACCUGAUAGCUUCACUAGAUGGCAUCUGACGGUGAAUAAAGAUAACGGCAAGGGAGUGGGGAUGCGUCUGAUUAGCUUGUUGGCGGGGUAACGGCCCACCAAGGCAACGAUCAGUAGGGGUUCUGAGAGGAAGGUCCCCCACAUUGGAACUGAGACACGGUCCAAACUCCUACGGGAGGCAGCAGUGAGGAAUAUUGGUCAAUGGGCGAGAGCCUGAACCAGCCAAGUUAAGCGUGCAGGAUGACGGCCCUAUGGGUUGUAAACUGCUUUUGUACGGGAAUAAAGUGACCUACGUGUAGGUUUUUGCAUGUACCGUAAGAAUAAGGACCGGCUAAUUCCGUGCCAGCCGCUGC
This 521-nucleotide ribosomal RNA is filed under the name uncultured bacterium. RNAcentral's name for it is "bacterial SSU rRNA". It matches the Rfam family "Bacterial small subunit ribosomal RNA", at positions 1 to 518 of the family's 1533-position model. The record is from RNAcentral.